AACCGUGUGAUGAACACAAAGCGAAUUAUUCUUUCGCCUUUUACUAAAGAAUACCGUGUGUUCGUCACUCAAAGCGGUAUACGCCUGUUUUUGGAAGAGCCUUCAAUUAUUGAGGGCU
This is a non-coding RNA of Glycine soja, 118 nucleotides long. The record is from Rfam. NCBI's taxonomy places the organism in Eukaryota, Viridiplantae, Streptophyta, Magnoliopsida, Fabales, Fabaceae.